GCACCGCUAGUCUAAUGGUUAGGAUAUCUGCCUUCCAAGCAGAUGGUCCGG
Molecule: transfer RNA, 51 nt
Filed under: Perkinsus marinus ATCC 50983
Lineage: Eukaryota; Perkinsozoa; Perkinsida; Perkinsidae
Rfam family: tRNA
About the family: Transfer RNA (tRNA) molecules are approximately 80 nucleotides in length.
Source: Rfam by way of RNAcentral